RNAcentral lists this ribosomal RNA (408 nucleotides) under uncultured bacterium. Its description in RNAcentral is "partial 16S ribosomal RNA". It matches the Rfam family "Bacterial small subunit ribosomal RNA", at positions 28 to 526 of the family's 1533-position model. The record is from RNAcentral.
GACGAACGCUGGCGGCGUGCUUAACACAUGCAAGUCGAACGAAGUGGCGAACGGGUGAGUAACGCGUAAUCAACCUGCCCUUCAGUGGGGGAUAACAGUUGGAAACGACUGCUAAUACCGCAUACUGAAGGAGGGGAUUGCGGCUGAUUAGCUAGUUGGAGGGGUAACGGCCCACCAAGGCGAGGAUAAGUAGCCGGGCUGAGAGGAUGAACGGCCACAUUUGGACUGAGACACGGGCCAGACUCCUACGGGAGGGAGCAGUGGGGAAUCUUCCGAAAUGGACGAAAGUCUGACGGAGCAACGCCGCGUGAGUGAUGACGGCCUUCGGGUUGUAAAGCUCUGUUAAUCGGGACGCGGUACCGGAAUAGAAAGCCACGGCUAACUACGUGCCAGCAGCCGCGGUAAUUC